Molecule: transfer RNA, 82 nt
Organism: Ipomoea nil (Japanese morning glory)
Lineage: Eukaryota; Viridiplantae; Streptophyta; Magnoliopsida; Solanales; Convolvulaceae
Rfam family: tRNA
About the family: Transfer RNA (tRNA) molecules are approximately 80 nucleotides in length. Their secondary structure includes four short double-helical elements and three loops (D, anti-codon, and T loops).
Source: Rfam
GUGGGCGUGCCGGAGUGGUUGUUAGGCAUGACUAGAAAUCAUGUGAGCUUUGCCCGCGCAGGUUCGAAUCCUGCCGCUCACG